Molecule: long non-coding RNA, 436 nt
Filed under: Fukomys damarensis (Damara mole-rat)
Lineage: Eukaryota; Metazoa; Chordata; Mammalia; Rodentia; Bathyergidae
Description: lncRNA (ENSFDAG00000032242.1)
Source: RNAcentral
UGCAGAUCCCCUCUGAAGUAACUGGGGUCUCAACUGGGGAACUUCUCAUCCCUGAGGAGUGGUCAGCUAGGAGAGGAAGAAGGAAUGUUGUGGAGCCCACCCAUGGCCUAAGGGUCGCAUGUAGUCCACAGUCUGUAGGAUUGGGAGCCUCCAAGUGGGUGACUCAAGAAGAAUUGAUACUUCAGCCCCCAGCGACAUGUACACAGUGUAAUGACAGGGAUCCUGGUGUCCCAGCCCAGACUUAUCCUGAGGGAAAGGACUGCUUACAGCACACAUUCUUCAACUUCAGCACAAUCAAGAUCCUGUGGAGGGCUUGCUAAGUCAAAGAUUGCUGGUUGGUGGGACUGGAGAGUCUGAAUUUCUGUCAAGUUCUCAGGUAAUGCUGCUGGCCCGAGACUACAAUUUGAGAAACGCUGGUCCAGGGCAAAUAGUGCAA